CUGUGUUGGAGGACACGCUGCUGAAAAAUAUUACUCUGAAGGAUAACCUUGAUACGCUAGGAUUAGAAGUGGACCGACUCACGCGCCAAGUUGCAAAUUACAAAAGCUAUAAACGAUGAUAUCAAAUCAAAUAUAAUACAUGAAUAUUCCUUGCCGUGUAAUAGAACAUUUUUAUUUGUUUUAUUUUUUUUUAAAUAAAUAAUAGUCCUGCCAUAGGUAGGCUCUUCUACAAACAAA
This is a long non-coding RNA of Aedes aegypti (yellow fever mosquito), 237 nucleotides long. RefSeq lists it as uncharacterized. The record is from RefSeq and is a predicted model, not a curated record. The transcript is spliced from 2 exons. Lineage: Eukaryota; Metazoa; Arthropoda; Insecta; Diptera; Culicidae.